GGAAGUAUGACUUAAAUGGUAGAGUACCAGAUUAGUAACUGCAAGGCCCUGAGUUCAAACCUCAGUAUUGCCA
This 73-nucleotide transfer RNA is filed under the name Dipodomys ordii (Ord's kangaroo rat). It matches the Rfam family "tRNA". Rfam says of the family: Transfer RNA (tRNA) molecules are approximately 80 nucleotides in length. Their secondary structure includes four short double-helical elements and three loops (D, anti-codon, and T loops). Lineage: Eukaryota; Metazoa; Chordata; Mammalia; Rodentia; Heteromyidae. The record is from Rfam by way of RNAcentral.